CAGGCAGAUUCUUUACCAGUUGAACCACGAGGGAAGCCCUUAUGGAAGAUGGUCCUACAGCCAUAUUCUGUAAAACUAGUAACAUAGAAUUUAAUGACCAGAAAGUCAUAUUUCUAUAGAUUUGGAAAGAGAUGGGGAAAUUUACUCCUCAAACCAUGCUCUUUUAGGUCAGAUCAUAUACGCAGAAUCCCACUCAGCUGUGUUUGUUUUCCUUGACUUACCUACCUGUUCUGAGGAACUAUUAGUUGUCUUUCUCAGUGAUCUGACUAGACCUUUCAAGCAAGGAGGUUUUGACCAAGAUAACCCCUUAAAAUAUUCCAAUGCUGUGAUCAAAGUCUUGAUUCCGCUUUCAUUUUAAUCCAUUUAAAAAUGCCAUUUCUGUAUAUUCAGACUAUCUCCUCUGUUUCUGUCCGCCUUGGAUAAUCUAGGUCACGCUUCCAUUUCUGUAUUCUGAGGACACCAGAUUGAGGCCACGCAUGAAGAACAGCGGCAGCUCCUCCUCCUUGCCCUCCUUUUGAAACAUGUUUUUUCUGACAGCUGAUUAAAGACUGGGCGUCUAGACAACUUUCCAUAAAGAGCUGGUAGAAGACAAUGGAUGCUGCUUUGUUCCCAACCUAGAAAAACCCUUGUGUAUCACAAGUGCUCCUACUGGAAGAACUCCAGAAGUUCCCCUCGCUUACAUCAAGUGCUUUUCAUCACAAAUUGGGCUGAGAAUUACAAAUCAUCUAGUAGAAAGUCCCUAAAAGAUUUACAUUUGCAGAAACAGGAACAUCUCGGGAUAGAGGAUUUCUUUCCAUGAUUUGAGCAAAGUAUUUUAUGGAUUUUGUUAUUCUGGUCUCUGUGACACUAUUCGGGAUAGGAAAAUCAAAGGUGGAGAAAGAUAAGGAAGAAAAGGAUAAAACCAAGAGAACAGGCCUUGCAAUAAGUUAAUAAAUGUUUUCAG
Non-coding RNA from Odocoileus virginianus texanus, 943 nucleotides. The record is from RefSeq and is a predicted model, not a curated record. Lineage: Eukaryota; Metazoa; Chordata; Mammalia; Artiodactyla; Cervidae.